GACAGAGGAGGCGAGCGUUAUCCGGAGUUACUGGGCGUAAAGCGCGCGCAGGUGGUGGGGUAAGUGGCUUGUGAAAUCUCCAUGCUAAACGUGGAGGGAGCAGGUCAGACUGCCUGACUAGAGGGUGAUAGAGGGGCGUGGAAUUCCGGGUGUAGCGGUGAAAUGUGUAGAUAUCCGGAGGAACACCAGAGGUGCAGACGGCGCCCUGGGUCACACCUGACACUGAGGCGCGAAAGCUUGGGGAGCGAACGGG
This 253-nucleotide ribosomal RNA is filed under the name uncultured bacterium. RNAcentral describes it as "partial 16S ribosomal RNA". It matches the Rfam family "Bacterial small subunit ribosomal RNA", at positions 524 to 776 of the family's 1533-position model. The record is from RNAcentral.